This is a small nuclear RNA of Myotis lucifugus (little brown bat), 122 nucleotides long. Its record names the gene U4. It matches the Rfam family "U4 spliceosomal RNA". Rfam says of the family: U4 small nuclear RNA (U4 snRNA) is a component of the major U2-dependent spliceosome. The structure of U4 snRNA from yeast and human has been reported. Lineage: Eukaryota; Metazoa; Chordata; Mammalia; Chiroptera; Vespertilionidae. The record is from Ensembl.
AGCUUUGCACAGUGGCAGUAUCAUAGUCAAUGAGGUUUAUCUGAGGCACGAUUAUUGCUAAUUGAAUAAAUAAAUAAAUUUAACAUGUUAUUGAAUUUAAUUCUCACAACAACCCAGAAGUA